RNAcentral lists this ribosomal RNA (788 nucleotides) under Shigella sonnei. RNAcentral's name for it is "bacterial SSU rRNA". It matches the Rfam family "Bacterial small subunit ribosomal RNA", at positions 1 to 778 of the family's 1533-position model. Lineage: Bacteria; Pseudomonadati; Pseudomonadota; Gammaproteobacteria; Enterobacterales; Enterobacteriaceae. The record is from RNAcentral.
AAAUUGAAGAGUUUGAUCAUGGCUCAGAUUGAACGCUGGCGGCAGGCCUAACACAUGCAAGUCGAACGGUAACAGGAAACAGCUUGCUGUUUCGCUGACGAGUGGCGGACGGGUGAGUAAUGUCUGGGAAACUGCCUGAUGGAGGGGGAUAACUACUGGAAACGGUAGCUAAUACCGCAUAAUGUCGCAAGACUAAAGAGGGGGACCUUCGGGCCUCUUGCCAUCGGAUGUGCCCAGAUGGGAUUAGCUAGUAGGUGGGGUAACGGCUCACCUAGGCGACGAUCCCUAGCUGGUCUGAGAGGAUGACCAGCCACACUGGAACUGAGACACGGUCCAGACUCCUACGGGAGGCAGCAGUGGGGAAUAUUGCACAAUGGGCGCAAGCCUGAUGCAGCCAUGCCGCGUGUAUGAAGAAGGCCUUCGGGUUGUAAAGUACUUUCAGCGGGGAGGAAGGGAGUAAAGUUAAUACCUUUACUCAUUGACGUUACCCGCAGAAGAAGCACCGGCUAACUCCGUGCCAGCAGCCGCGGUAAUACGGAGGGUGCAAGCGUUAAUCGGAAUUACUGGGCGUAAAGCGCACGCAGGCGGUUUGUUAAGUCAGAUGUGAAAUCCCCGGGCUCAACCUGGGAACUGCAUCUGAUACUGGCAAGCUUGAGUCUCGUAGAGGGGGGUAGAAUUCCAGGUGUAGCGGUGAAAUGCGUAGAGAUCUGGAGGAAUACCGGUGGCGAAGGCGGCCCCCUGGACGAAGACUGACGCUCAGGUGCGAAAGCGUGGGGAGCAAACAGGAU